This 612-nucleotide ribosomal RNA is filed under the name Triticum aestivum (bread wheat). RNAcentral describes it as "partial small subunit ribosomal RNA". Lineage: Eukaryota; Viridiplantae; Streptophyta; Magnoliopsida; Poales; Poaceae. The record is from RNAcentral.
AUGCGGUCGACAGGUUCCCCGUGCGGGAGGAGUUUGCUGACAGUCUUGACAACCCAGAUCCAGUCCCACUCGCGUACCUUCUGGAGAAGGGGGGUUGCAAAUCCGGAGAUUGGUUGGGAAGAAGAUCAUUCUGGGAUGGCUGAAAUGGUGUGCGAAGGUGUGCUUACUGACGCUCAAGGUGGUGCGCAGCAUCGGCGUGAUGAAUCUCUGACGAGGUCUGGCCAAUCGACGGGCAGGGUUAAUCCAGAGGCCUCAGGCUGGACUAAAAGGCUUCAUCUUGGAAGUGCGCCACCUGACCAUGUGCCAUGUCCAUUAAAAAUGAGCGCUCUCGAGCUGUCGAUCAGGAAAUAUGCUGAGCAACCUGACAAGAGCGUGGUGCGACCUGAGCUAGGGCUUAGUUUCGAUUCGCUGGGAGAAGCGUAUGAUUUCUACAACUUAUAUUCAUGGGAAGUCGGUUUUGGGAUAAGAUAUGGGAAAAGCAGGCUGAACGCCAAGAGAACAAAAAGCAUGCAGGAGAUAGUAUGUGGUUGCUCGGCUGAACGCCAAGAGAACAAAAAGCAUGCAGGAGAUAAUAUGUGGUUGCUCGGGGAAACCGGAUGCCGAAAACAGUAG